UAGGGAAUCUUCGGCAAUGGACGAAAGUCUGACCGAGCAACGCCGCGUGAGUGAAGAUGGUUUUCGGAUCGUAAAACUCUGUUGUUAGAGAAGAACAAGGACGUUAGUAACUGAACGUCCCCUGACGGUAUCUAACCAGAAAGCCACGGCUAACUACGUGCCAGCAGCCGCGGUAAUACGUAGGUGGCAAGCGUUGUCCGGAUUUAUUGGGCGUAAAGCGAGCGCAGGCGGUUUCUUAAGUCUGAUGUGAAAGCCCCCGGCUCAACCGGGGAGGGUCAUUGGAAACUGGGAGACUGGAGUGCAGAAGAGGAGAGUGGAAUUCCAUGUGUAGCGGUGAAAUGCGUAGAUAUAUGGAGGAACACCAGUGGCGAAGGCGGCUCUCUGGUCUGUAACUGACGCUGAGGCUCGAAAGCGUGGGGAGCAAACAGG
This 429-nucleotide ribosomal RNA is filed under the name Gemmatimonadota bacterium. RNAcentral's name for it is "Gemmatimonadetes bacterium partial 16S ribosomal RNA". It matches the Rfam family "Bacterial small subunit ribosomal RNA", at positions 355 to 776 of the family's 1533-position model. The record is from RNAcentral. Lineage: Bacteria; Pseudomonadati; Gemmatimonadota.